Molecule: ribosomal RNA, 520 nt
Filed under: uncultured Glomus
Lineage: Eukaryota; Fungi; Glomeromycota; Glomeromycetes; Glomerales; Glomeraceae
Description: SSU rRNA
Rfam family: Eukaryotic small subunit ribosomal RNA
Source: RNAcentral
AGCAGCCGCGGUAAUUCCAGCUCCAAUAGCGUAUAUUAAAGUUGUUGCAGUUAAAAAGCUCGUAGUUGAAUUUCGGGGUUAGUAGGUUGGUCAUGCCCCUGGUAUGUACUGGUCUCACUGACUCCUCCUUCCUGAUGAACCGUAAUGCCAUUAAUUUGGUGUUGCGGGGAAUUUGGACUGUUACUUUGAAAAAAUUAGAGUGUUUAAAGCAAGCUAACGCUUGAAUACAUUAGCAUGGAAUAAUGAAAUAGGACGUUCGAUCCUAUUUUGUUGGUUUCUAGGAUUGACGUAAUGAUUAAUAGGGAUAGUUGGGGCAUUAGUAUUCAAUUGUCAGAGGUGAAAUUCUUGGAUUUAUUGAAGACUAACUACUGCGAAAGCAUUUGCCAAGGAUGCUUUCAUUAAUCAAGAACGAAAGUUAGGGGAUUGAAGACGAUCAGAUACCGUCGUAGUCUUAACCAUAAACUAUGCCGACUAGGGAUCGGAUGAUGUUAAUUUUUAAUGACUCAUUCGGCGCCUUAAC